GUAACUCCUGGGGAAAAUCUUCUGAACAGGGGAAGCUUCGUACUCUGAGGAAUUAUACCAAAGAGAAAUAAGUGUUCGUGUGCUGUGAGAAAAUCUUCUGAGCUCAGUCAUCACUUACGGUCCCUGGAAGAGUCAUACAGGAGAUGGAUCCAUCCUAGGACGUUGCGUCUGAGAGUUUAUAAAGGAGAGAGAGCCAGUGGCUACUGUGCGGUUUCAAGAAUCCUCAACCAUAGCUCUACCCGUAGUAUGCACUGAAAAAGCAACCCCAGGAAUAUUUAAAAAACAAAGGAGAAAGAAAUAUAAGUAGAUAUCACAGGCAAAUGAAUGUAUUUCUGACUUUUUUUCUGCUUUUCCUGAGAAACCAGUGAGUUUAUUGGCUGGCCUUUUUUGUUGUUUUUGGGUGGCAGGGGGCUGUUUGAGAGAUUAACCGCCUGAAUUAAUAUGCACUGUGUGCCACGCCACACCAGGAAGGCUGGACGCUUGAGAGCAUCUCUGCGUUACGAAACGUCAUCUUAGGUGACACCUUGAUUUAUGAAGCCUUUAAAACUUAAAUUAGGAUACAAAAAUGUUGUCUAAAAUUAUAAUAAAGACAUAAGGACACACGAAUGGGUACAUUUUACUUUACUACUUAAAACUGUUUAAGGCUUCAUUUUUAUUUAUCCAUUAA
Molecule: long non-coding RNA, 667 nt
Filed under: Bos taurus (domestic cattle)
Lineage: Eukaryota; Metazoa; Chordata; Mammalia; Artiodactyla; Bovidae
Description: long non-coding RNA NONBTAT009582
Source: RNAcentral